Molecule: ribosomal RNA, 556 nt
Filed under: uncultured Thiotrichales bacterium
Lineage: Bacteria; Pseudomonadati; Pseudomonadota; Gammaproteobacteria; Thiotrichales
Description: bacterial SSU rRNA
Rfam family: Bacterial small subunit ribosomal RNA
Source: RNAcentral
UAACGCGUAGGAAUCUGCCUGAUAGUGGGGGAUAGCCCGAAGAAAUUCGGAUUAAUACCGCAUAAUCUAUUCGUAGUAAAGUGAGGGACUUUCGAGCCUCACGCUAUCAGAUGAGCCUGCGUAAGAUUAGCUUGUUGGUAGGGUAAAAGCCUACCAAGGCAACGAUCUUUAGCUGGUCUGAGAGGAUGAUCAGCCACAUCGGGACUGAGACACGGCCCGAACUCCUACGGGAGGCAGCAGUGGGGAAUAUUGGACAAUGGGGGCAACCCUGAUCCAGCAAUACCGCGUGUGUGAAGAAGGCCUGAGGGUUGUAAAGCACUUUCAAUUGUGAAGAAAAGUUAACGGUUAAUAACCGUUAACCUUGACGUUAACUUUAGAAGAAGCACCGGCUAACUCCGUGCCAGCAGCCGCGGUAAUACGGAGGGUGCAAGCGUUAAUCGGAAUUACUGGGCGUAAAGCGUGCGUAGGCGGUUUAUUAAGUCAGAUGUGAAAGCCCCGGGCUUAACCUGGGAACUGCAUUUGAAACUGGUCAACUAGAGUAUGGUAGAGGAAAGUG